UCUACUAAUUAGGAUUUAAUAAGACAAUGGGGAAAAAAGAUGCAAAAUCACCGAGAUACAUUCAAUUGGGAGGGACCUCAUUGCUCUUAGAUACAAGGAGUCAGAGUAAAGCCAUGGAAAUUCAGGCAUGAAUUGUGAGAGGCGUUGGACAAGUUAAGCUCACUGAAACUCAGUUUCCUGUCCUGUAAAAUGGGGAUAAUAAGACCUACCUUUCAGAGUUGCUAAAAACACUUAGGAAAAAUGUAUGUAAAACACCAAUUAGCCACAAAGUAAGUGACCUAUCUAUGGUGGCUGUUAUUGUCAUAACGAGAUCAAUUUUUAAAAUAUUCUCCCUCAGCUCUCUACUCUCAG
RNAcentral lists this long non-coding RNA (351 nucleotides) under Canis lupus familiaris (dog). Its description in RNAcentral is "lncRNA (ENSCAFG00845020270.1)". Lineage: Eukaryota; Metazoa; Chordata; Mammalia; Carnivora; Canidae. The record is from RNAcentral.